UCCGCAUUGGUGUAAUGGUAACAUCGCCGGUUUUCAAUAGAAAACCAUAAACCCGGCAGCUCGGGGUUCAAUUCCCCGAUGCGGAG
RNAcentral lists this transfer RNA (86 nucleotides) under Exophiala dermatitidis. RNAcentral describes it as "tRNA-Glu". It matches the Rfam family "tRNA". From Rfam's summary of the family: Transfer RNA (tRNA) molecules are approximately 80 nucleotides in length. Their secondary structure includes four short double-helical elements and three loops (D, anti-codon, and T loops). Further hydrogen bonds mediate the characteristic L-shaped molecular structure. tRNAs have two regions of fundamental functional importance: the anti-codon, which is responsible for specific mRNA codon recognition, and the 3' end, to which the tRNAs corresponding amino acid is attached (by aminoacyl-tRNA synthetases). tRNAs cope with the degeneracy of the genetic code in two manners: having more than one tRNA (with a specific anti-codon) for a particular amino acid; and 'wobble' base-pairing, i.e. permitting non-standard base-pairing at the 3rd anti-codon position. Lineage: Eukaryota; Fungi; Ascomycota; Eurotiomycetes; Chaetothyriales; Herpotrichiellaceae. RNAcentral also lists the same sequence under 1 other name. The record is from RNAcentral.